ACGAAAUCUCUUAACACGAGUAAUUAUCGACCAUCAGCACCACACCAAUCACCUGAUACCGUGAAGCGAAACGAAAGAAAUGCAAAUGCUACAAAAUGUUAAACCGUGUCACGCAUAUGAAACUAGAUUGAAGACGUUUGAAGCACCAGAGAAGAUUUACAGCCGAUGGCGCGGACGAUUAUAUUUUUUGGUGGACAACUUUCACGAGGUCUAGGUCACAAA
This is a long non-coding RNA of Episyrphus balteatus (marmalade hoverfly), 222 nucleotides long. RefSeq lists it as uncharacterized. The record is from RefSeq and is a predicted model, not a curated record. Lineage: Eukaryota; Metazoa; Arthropoda; Insecta; Diptera; Syrphidae. The transcript has 2 exons.